Molecule: non-coding RNA, 30 nt
Filed under: Homo sapiens (human)
Lineage: Eukaryota; Metazoa; Chordata; Mammalia; Primates; Hominidae
Source: RNAcentral
UCAAGGAAGACUCCUUGGAUAAGCUGGUGU